Molecule: ribosomal RNA, 464 nt
Filed under: Veillonella parvula
Lineage: Bacteria; Bacillati; Bacillota; Negativicutes; Veillonellales; Veillonellaceae
Description: bacterial SSU rRNA
Rfam family: Bacterial small subunit ribosomal RNA
Source: RNAcentral
GACGAACGCUGGCGGCGUGCUUAACACAUGCAAGUCGAACGAAGAGCGAUGGAAGCUUGCUUCUAUCAAUCUUAGUGGCGAACGGGUGAGUAACGCGUAAUCAACCUGCCCUUCAGAGGGGGACAACAGUUGGAAACGACUGCUAAUACCGCAUACGAUCUAAACUCGGCAUCGAGGAUAGAUGAAAGGUGGCCUCUACAUGUAAGCUAUCACUGAAGGAGGGGAUUGCGUCUGAUUAGCUAGUUGGAGGGGUAACGGCCCACCAAGGCGAUGAUCAGUAGCCGGUCUGAGAGGAUGAACGGCCACAUUGGGACUGAGACACGGCCCAGACUCCUACGGGAGGCAGCAGUGGGGAAUCUUCCGCAAUGGACGAAAGUCUGACGGAGCAACGCCGCGUGAGUGAUGACGGCCUUCGGGUUGUAAAGCUCUGUUAAUCGGGACGAAAGGCCUUCUUGCGAAUAGGA